ACCCGACUCAGUAUUCUUCCAAGAGGUGUGGAGUCAUAGAAAGACAUAGGUGCACGAAAAAGAGAAAGUAGUAACUGGGAAAAUAACGAUUUUGAUGAUUGAAGACCCAAAACAACUGUAAAGAUCGAUCUACAUAGCAAGAAAAGCAUUGAGAUAAUUCCUAUA
Molecule: long non-coding RNA, 165 nt
Organism: Populus trichocarpa (black cottonwood)
Lineage: Eukaryota; Viridiplantae; Streptophyta; Magnoliopsida; Malpighiales; Salicaceae
Exons: 2
Source: RefSeq, a predicted model, not a curated record